GUCUACGACCAUAUCAACGUUUUGAAAUCCGGUUCUCGUCCGAUCACCGAAGUUUAAGCACGUCGUAGCCGGUUAGUACUUGGUUAGGGGACCGCCUUGGUGAAACCGGGUGCUUGUGACA
This 121-nucleotide ribosomal RNA is filed under the name Mytilus galloprovincialis (Mediterranean mussel). The record is from RNAcentral. Lineage: Eukaryota; Metazoa; Mollusca; Bivalvia; Mytilida; Mytilidae.